GCCGGGAUGUUGGAAUUGGCAGACAAAGCGGACUUAAAAUCCGCUGUCCCGAGAGGGACGUGAGGGUUCGAGUCCCUCUCCCGGCA
RNAcentral lists this transfer RNA (86 nucleotides) under Candidatus Omnitrophota bacterium. RNAcentral's name for it is "tRNA-Leu". It matches the Rfam family "tRNA". From Rfam's summary of the family: Transfer RNA (tRNA) molecules are approximately 80 nucleotides in length. Their secondary structure includes four short double-helical elements and three loops (D, anti-codon, and T loops). Further hydrogen bonds mediate the characteristic L-shaped molecular structure. tRNAs have two regions of fundamental functional importance: the anti-codon, which is responsible for specific mRNA codon recognition, and the 3' end, to which the tRNAs corresponding amino acid is attached (by aminoacyl-tRNA synthetases). tRNAs cope with the degeneracy of the genetic code in two manners: having more than one tRNA (with a specific anti-codon) for a particular amino acid; and 'wobble' base-pairing, i.e. permitting non-standard base-pairing at the 3rd anti-codon position. Lineage: Bacteria; Pseudomonadati; Candidatus Omnitrophota. The record is from RNAcentral. RNAcentral also lists the same sequence under 1 other name.